Molecule: ribosomal RNA, 497 nt
Filed under: uncultured bacterium
Lineage: Bacteria
Description: partial 16S ribosomal RNA
Rfam family: Bacterial small subunit ribosomal RNA
Source: RNAcentral
GAUGAACGCUGGCGGCGUGCCUAAUACAUGCAAGUCGAGCGAACAGACGAGGAGCUUGCUCCUCUGACGUUAGCGGCGGACGGGUGAGUAACACGUGGAUAACCUACCUAUAAGACUGGGAUAACUUCGGGAAACCGGAGCUAAUACCGGAUAAUAUAUUGAACCGCAUGGUUCAAUAGUGAAAGACGGUUUUGCUGUCACUUAUAGAUGGAUCCGCGCCGCAUUAGCUAGUUGGUAAGGUAACGGCUUACCAAGGCAACGAUGCGUAGCCGACCGGAGAGGGGGAUCGGCCACACUGGAACUGAGACACGGUCCAGACUCCUACGGGAGGCAGCAGUAGGGAAUCGUCCGCAAUGGGCGAAAGCCUGACGGAGCAACGCCGCGUGAGUGAUGAAGGUCUUCUGAUCGUAAAACUCUGUUAUUAGGGAAGAACAAAUGUGUAAGUAACUAUGCACGUCUUGACGGUACCUAAUCAGAAAGCCACGGCUAACUACGUG